This 253-nucleotide ribosomal RNA is filed under the name uncultured bacterium. RNAcentral describes it as "partial 16S ribosomal RNA". It matches the Rfam family "Bacterial small subunit ribosomal RNA", at positions 524 to 776 of the family's 1533-position model. The record is from RNAcentral.
UACGUAGGGCGCAAGCGUUGUCCGGAAUUAUUGGGCGUAAAGAGCUCGUAGGUGGCUUGUCGCGUCUGCCGUGAAAGCCCGUGGCUUAACUACGGGUCUGCGGUGGAUACGGGCAGGCUAGAGGCUGGUAGGGGCAAGCGGAAUUCCUGGUGUAGCGGUGAAAUGCGCAGAUAUCAGGAGGAACACCGGUGGCGAAGGCGGCUUGCUGGGCCAGUUCUGACGCUGAGGUGCGAAAGCGUGGGGAGCAAACAGG